Molecule: small RNA, 1595 nt
Filed under: Histoplasma capsulatum var. duboisii H88
Lineage: Eukaryota; Fungi; Ascomycota; Eurotiomycetes; Onygenales; Ajellomycetaceae
Description: Histoplasma capsulatum H88 hypothetical RNA
Source: RNAcentral
UUGAUCAUUCAACUCUACCAUCCCCCAUAAAAGGAACGAUGGGGAAGAAACAAAAAUCCCAACCCACGGCUGCUGCGUCUGCGCUCGAGGAAAAUGCUGGCAGUACUCCAGCUGCCAAUGGUUCAAUCCCAUCCUUUCCCUUUUUUGCCGGCGGUGGGGAGAGCGCAGUAGCUGUUGAUCCGAUGCUUGCUUCGCUAUUUGAGAAGAGUGCUGGACCUGUGAAAGCUCCUCAAUUCACUAAUGCGAAGCUGAUCGCGACGUCAGCAAAUGGCGGAAAGUCUGGGGGACGGACCAAUGGAGUGGGGCAAGGCACAUCGCAAGAUGAUAUGGAAUUAACCUCAUCUAAUGAGGAAGAGGCGGGGGAGGGAGCUUCGUCGGAGACCAGUGAUCAAAUGAUGGAGGAUGUCGGUGAUGAAGCAUUGAGUCCAGAAAAACGACGGAAACGAAAACGAGGCGGCGCAGAGGACAUAGAGGAAUCAUACAUGCGGCGCAUGGCAAAGGAGGAAGCCAAGGAAGAUGAGAAGCGACGGAGUGAGAAAGCGAAACGGCAGAAAAUUGUGGAAAGCGUCGGGAGGGAAAGUGACUCUUCAGACUCUGAAAGAGACAACGAGGAGGGUGAAGAUGGAACGUCCGACGAUGAAGAUGGCAUAGACAACCCUCCCAUUGUGCACGAAUCCAACUCCAACAAGCCCGAUGCCGCCCUCCUCGACAAAUCCGCCCGCACCAUCUUCCUCUCCAACGUCUCCACAGAAGCCAUAAAAUCCAAAUCCGCAAAGAAAACCCUCCUCAAACACCUCUGCUCUUUCUUCCCUUCGAUCCCCGAAUCCGCCACACCACAUAAGAUAGAAUCAAUCCGCUUCCGCUCCACGGCCUUCUCCACGCAAUCAAUGCCCAAACGCGCAGCAUACGCCAAGCGCGAGCUCAUGGACUCCACCACCCGCAGCACAAAUGCGUACGUAGUCUACAGCACCACUGCAGCCGCACGAGGAGCCCCCAGGGCUCUGAACGGCAGCAUCAUCCUCGACAGACACCUGCGUGUCGACAGCGUCGCCCACCCAGCCCCCAUCGACUACAAGCGGUGCAUCUUCGUCGGCAACCUCGGUUUCGUCGACGAAGAAACGCCCACCGACGAACAAGUCGCAGGGCAACAGAAGGAGAAGAAGAAACGAAAGCAAAAGCACGCCCCGCCCGCAGAUGUGGAGGAGGGCCUCUGGCGCACUUUCAACGAGCACACCGCUGCUGGCAAGUCCGCGGAUCCCAGUAGUAAUAAAAUAAGCAAGGAUACUGGUCCUUAUCCGAACCUGGGCGGCGGCCCCGUUGAAUCCGUCCGCGUCAUCCGCGACCCGGCAACGCGGAUUGGGAAGGGAGUCGCCUACGUCCAAUUCCGCGACGAGAAUGCCGUUGAGAUGGCGCUGUUGUUGGACGGGCAAAAAUUCCCGCCGUUGCUCCCGCGCAAGCUGCGUGUCACGCGUGCGAAACGGGUUGUGAAGAAAACUCGUAACGGUAGUGUUGGGGAUCAAGGAAGAAGUAAUGGUAGUAAAACGGACAGCAGGAAUGCCAAUAAGACUCGGCUGGGGCAGCGGAGGAGCGGGGUA